GACGAACGCUGGCGGCGUGCCUAAUACAUGCAAGUAGAACGCUGAAGGAGGAGCUUGCUUCUCUGGAUGAGUUGCGAACGGGUGAGUAACGCGUAGGUAACCUGCCUGGUAGCGGGGGAUAACUAUUGGAAACGAUAGCUAAUACCGCAUAACAGUAGAUAUCGCAUGAUAUCUACUUGAAAGGUGCAAUUGCAUCACUACCAGAUGGACCUGCGUUGUAUUAGCUAGUUGGUGAGGUAACGGCUCACCAAGGCGACGAUACAUAGCCGACCUGAGAGGGGGAUCGGCCGAACUGGGACUGAGACACGGCCCAGACUCCUACGGGAGGCAGCAGUAGGGAAUCUUCGGCAAUGGACGGAAGUCUGACCGAGCAACGCCGCGUGAGUGAAGAAGGUUGUCGGAUCGUAAAGCUCUGUUGUAAGAGAAGAACGAGUGUGAGAGUGGAAAGUUCACACUGUGACGGUAUCUGACCAGAAAGGGACGGCUAACUACGUG
This 495-nucleotide ribosomal RNA is filed under the name uncultured bacterium. RNAcentral's name for it is "partial 16S ribosomal RNA". It matches the Rfam family "Bacterial small subunit ribosomal RNA", at positions 28 to 507 of the family's 1533-position model. The record is from RNAcentral.